This 497-nucleotide ribosomal RNA is filed under the name uncultured bacterium. Its description in RNAcentral is "partial 16S ribosomal RNA". It matches the Rfam family "Bacterial small subunit ribosomal RNA", at positions 28 to 507 of the family's 1533-position model. The record is from RNAcentral.
GAUGAACGCUGGCGGCGUGCCUAAUACAUGCAAGUCGAGCGAACGGACGAGAAGCUUGCUUUUCUGAUGUUAGCGGCGAACGGGUGAGUAACACGUGGAUAACCUACCUAUAAGACUGGGAUAACUUCGGGAAACCGGAGCUAAUACCGGAUAAUAUUUUGUACCGCAUGGUUCAAAAGUGAAAGACGGUCUUGCUGUCACUUAUAGAUGGAUCCGCGCUGCAUUAGCUAGUUGGUAAGGUAACGGCUUACCAAGGCAACGAUGCAUAGCCGACCUGUGAGGGUGAUCGGCCACACUGGAACUGAGACACGGUCCAGACUCCUACGGGAGGCAGCAGUAGGGAAUCUUCCGCAAUGGGCGAAAGCCUGACGGAGCAACGCCGCGUGAGUGAUGAAGGUCUUCGGAUCGUAAAACUCUGUUAUUAGGGAAGAACAUAUGUGUAAGUAACUGUGCACAUCUUGACGGUACCUAAUCAGAAAGCCACGGCUAACUACGUG